CCCAGACUCCUACGGGAGGCAGCAGUGGGGGAUAUUGCACAAUGGGGGGAACCCUGAUGCAGCGACGCCGCGUGGAGGAAGAAGUAUCUCGGUAUGUAAACUCCUAUCAGCAGGGAAGAAAGAAGACGGUACCUGACUAAGAAGCCCCGGCUAACUACGUGCCAGCAGCCGCGGUAAUACGUAGGGGGCAAGCGUUAUCCGGAUUCACUGGGUGUAAAGGGAGCGUAGACGGCGACGCAAGUCUGGAGUGAAAGCCCGGGGCCCAACCCCGGGACUGCUCUGGAAACUGCGGCGCUGGAGUACGGGAGGGGCAGGCGGAAUUCCUGGUGUAGCGGUGAAAUGCGUAGAUAUCAGGAGGAACACCGGCGGCGAAGGCGGCCUGCUGGACCGUGACUGACGUUGAGGCUCGAGAGCGUGGGGAGCAAACAGGAUUAGAUACCCCCGUAC
This 447-nucleotide ribosomal RNA is filed under the name uncultured bacterium. RNAcentral describes it as "partial 16S ribosomal RNA". It matches the Rfam family "Bacterial small subunit ribosomal RNA", at positions 330 to 793 of the family's 1533-position model. The record is from RNAcentral.